RNAcentral lists this long non-coding RNA (1925 nucleotides) under Triticum aestivum (bread wheat). RNAcentral's name for it is "long non-coding RNA (TAES_LNC004880)". Lineage: Eukaryota; Viridiplantae; Streptophyta; Magnoliopsida; Poales; Poaceae. The record is from RNAcentral.
UCAGAAAUAUUUGAACACAUGAGAAUUAAUCCAUCCACUUCAAGCACAAACAUACAUUUCAAACUGCAAUGGUCCUAGAACAGAACAGAAGAGACACAUGCAUAUCAAGUGUUACAUUGCAUGAGAGGGUCAUUUUUGGGUACAACACGGGCAAGACUAAUUAUGAAUGACUAAAAUAAUCAUAGCUCAACAAGCAUUGUCACUGAAAAUGCAUCAACUUGGCAAGCCUGAUGGUACACAACAGAAAAGCUGCAGCCUUGCCUCCAAUUCUAGUGCUUCUCGUUCAUCAAGCUUCUUGUGCUGGGAGAGAUCAGACCUAAACAAUAUGAUUCAAUCAGCACAUGUUCGUGUAAGAAUCAUAUGUUCACACUUAUUUAUUUAUUUACUCAUGAGCUAAUUAAAUGAAUAUGCAUCAACAAUACCAGCUACUGUGUGAUGCACAUACCACAUGAAGGGCAAAUAAAGUAGAAAUCACAUUCAUCCCAAAGAAACUCUAAAGUACUUGCCAGUAAUGAAACAAAUUGUGUAAACAUUAGUUAUCUUGUACAAGAAAAAAAAACUCUAGUGCAUUCUAUUUAAAAUAGUGAGAUUCGCACACAACCGGUGGACUCAAGCAUUGCAACUAUUUAAAUAAAAAGUUGAGACAAACUCGAGCUCACAUGCCUUCCAUUUUAAUUUCCAAGCAUGCUCUUUUGUUUAGUUGUUAUGCCAUUUUUAGCAACUGCGAAUAUGAGAACCAAAAUACAACCUGACUCAAAAUAGACAGAUUACAAGCUUUUGCUUCAAAAGUUUGACUAAUCUAGUAUCUGGUCAGAUUUUUUUUUGAAUUAUUCCCUGUUGAGUUAUUUGUGAGACUCGGCGCACAUGUUGAUGUCAAAGGCUCUUGGAGAAUAUAGCAUACAAAUUGGUUCAGUUCUUUUAAAUAGUUAACAAGAAAUGAAAAGACUCUUAGUAUCAUGCCUUGAAUUAUGUUUUGUGCUACCUCCCUUCGCAAUAUUGCUUUGUGAUGUUGGUUACUGCUAGUGCAGCUUCUAUAUAUGCAUAUAGCAAAGUACCUACCUGAUUUAGAUGUCUUUGAAGAGAGCUUCAUAGUUUUCAACUUAAAGAUAAGAACAUAAUCAAGCUCUAAUACUCCUAUUUUUUGUGAUGAUGUGUGUUAAAUAACCAUCUCAGUAUGUGUUUAUGAGAGGACCUAUGUUGUGAUCAUACUGCUGUUAAUGUUGUUAUUUCUGAUGCAUACUUGAAUAACUUGGGGGAGGUCUGGUGAAGAUUUGGACAGAUUAACCAAUGUUCGUACUUGCUAAAACUAACGGAGUAUGUGUUGUGAAAGGGGAACAUGCGAUUACUGGAAAAUUCUGGAGUAACAUGAAUCCAGAUUUUGUUAUGCGGACAAACCAAUUUCAUUUUUCUUACCUAGUAGAAUCAAUUUACUUUAUUUCUAGGCUUUCAAGUUAUUGAGUCUGUAUACGAAACUGCAGAUACUAAUCUUUUUAGUGAAUUGUCCUAACUUCAAGGCACUUGGAUUAUAUACCUAACCGUGGUUCUCCAGAGUACUUUAGUGAAGUAAAACUUCCAAAUUAGAGUACCAAACCACCUAGAACAGUUGCAAUACAUCAUCAAAUCGAAGUUAUUAAAAUGCAUCGUUCACACAUGAGCAGAUUUGACAAGAAAAGGUACAAGAAAAUAGAAGUACAGAGAUGCAACACAAAUUUCCUUGAUAGUAAAAUUGGGAUAUAGCACAAAUGUACUAUAGCAAAUAAAGUUAAGAUCUAGUUACCAGGAAAAUGAACCGUCGUGUUCACGGCAUGUAGGUUCGGCCAGUCGGGAAGGGGCUGAGGAAACCACAUUGGCUUGCCGUCAACGAGGGGUAGAAGACGCGAGCUGAUCUGGAGCCUAAGAGAGAGGAGGAGGCAAAGAAACCCAAC